UGUUCAUGAUCGAUCCAAAUUUCAUGUGAUGGUGAUGGAGACGAUAUGGGACAUAACAUCAAGAAUGUUCAUGAUCGAUCCAAAUUUCAACUUGAAUAAUCUAAUACGAGGUAUAAAUAUCUACAGACAUGGACAAGAGACAUAAGACAUUUAGUGAAGGUGACAUGGUGAUGGUCUACAUGCACAAAGAAUAUUUUUCUGCUGGAACAUA
Molecule: long non-coding RNA, 211 nt
Filed under: Elaeis guineensis (African oil palm)
Lineage: Eukaryota; Viridiplantae; Streptophyta; Magnoliopsida; Arecales; Arecaceae
Description: long non-coding RNA (EGUI_LNC037418)
Source: RNAcentral